GAUGAACGCUGGCGGCGUGCCUAAUACAUGCAAGUCGAGCGAACGGACGAGAAGCUUGCUUCUCUGAUGUUAGCGGCGGACGGGUGAGUAACACGUGGAUAACCUACCUAUAAGACUGGGAUAACUUCGGGAAACCGUAGCUAAUACCGGAUAAUAUUUUGAACCGCAUGGUUCAAAAGUGAAAGACGGUCUUGCUGUCACUUAUAGAUGGAUCCGCGCUGCAUUAGCUAGUUGGUAAGGUAACGGCUUACCAAGGCAACGAUGCAUAGCCGACCUGAGAGGGUGAUCGGCCACACAGGAGCUGAGACACGGUCCAGACUCCUACGGGAGGCAGCAGUAGGGAAUCUUCCGCAAUGGGCGAAAGCCUGACGGAGCAACGCCGCGUGAGUGAUGAAGGUCUUCGGAUCGUAAAACUCUGUUAUUAGGGAGGAACAUAUGUGUAAGUAACUGUGCACAUCUUGACGGUACCUAAACAGAAAGCCACGGCUAACUACGU
This 496-nucleotide ribosomal RNA is filed under the name uncultured bacterium. RNAcentral's name for it is "partial 16S ribosomal RNA". It matches the Rfam family "Bacterial small subunit ribosomal RNA", at positions 28 to 506 of the family's 1533-position model. The record is from RNAcentral.